GCCGGAAUAGCUCAGCUGGGAGAGAGUUAGACUGAAGAUCUAAAGGUCCCUGGUUCGAUCCCGGGUUUCGGCA
Molecule: transfer RNA, 73 nt
Filed under: Dryococelus australis
Lineage: Eukaryota; Metazoa; Arthropoda; Insecta; Phasmatodea; Phasmatidae
Description: tRNA-OTHER
Rfam family: tRNA
About the family: Transfer RNA (tRNA) molecules are approximately 80 nucleotides in length. Their secondary structure includes four short double-helical elements and three loops (D, anti-codon, and T loops). Further hydrogen bonds mediate the characteristic L-shaped molecular structure. tRNAs have two regions of fundamental functional importance: the anti-codon, which is responsible for specific mRNA codon recognition, and the 3' end, to which the tRNAs corresponding amino acid is attached (by aminoacyl-tRNA synthetases). tRNAs cope with the degeneracy of the genetic code in two manners: having more than one tRNA (with a specific anti-codon) for a particular amino acid; and 'wobble' base-pairing, i.e. permitting non-standard base-pairing at the 3rd anti-codon position.
Source: RNAcentral